RNAcentral lists this ribosomal RNA (497 nucleotides) under uncultured bacterium. Its description in RNAcentral is "partial 16S ribosomal RNA". It matches the Rfam family "Bacterial small subunit ribosomal RNA", at positions 28 to 507 of the family's 1533-position model. The record is from RNAcentral.
GAUGAACGCUGGCGGCGUGCCUAAUACAUGCAAGUCGAGCGAACAGAUGAGGAGCUUGCUCCUCUGACGUUAGCGGCGGACGGGUGAGUAACACGUGGAUAACCUACCUAUAAGACUGGGAUAACUUCGGGAAACCGGAGCUAAUACCGGAUAAUAUCUUGAACCGCAUGGUUCAAUAGUGAAAGACGGUUUUGCUGUCACUUAUAGAUGGAUCCGCGCCGCAUUAGCUAGUUGGUAAGGUAACGGCUUACCAAGGCAACGAUGCGUAGCCGACCUGAGAGAGUGGUCGGCGGCACUGGAGCUGAGACACGGACCAGACGACUACGGGAGGGAGCAGUAGGGAAUCGUCCGCAGUGGGCGAAAGCCUGACGGAGCAACGGCGAGUGAGUGAUGAAGGUCUUCGGAGCGUAAUACUCUGUUAUUAGGGGAGAACAAAUGUGGAAGUAGCUAUGCACGUCUUGACGGUACCUAAUCAGAAAGCAACGGCUAACUACGUG